This 799-nucleotide ribosomal RNA is filed under the name actinobacterium SCGC AAA043-N04. RNAcentral describes it as "bacterial SSU rRNA". It matches the Rfam family "Bacterial small subunit ribosomal RNA", at positions 62 to 869 of the family's 1533-position model. The record is from RNAcentral. Lineage: Bacteria; Bacillati; Actinomycetota; Actinomycetes.
UCGAACGAUGAAGCUGGAGCUUGCUCCGGUGGAUUAGUGGCGAACGGGUGAGUAACACGUGAGCAAUCUGCCCUUGACUCUGGGAUAACUGCGGGAAACUGUAGCUAAUACCGGAUACGACGCCUUGGGGCAUCCCACGGGCGUGGAAAGAAUUUUGGUCAAGGAUGAGCUCGCGGCCUAUCAGCUAGUUGGUGAGGUAAUGGCUCACCAAGGCGACGACGGGUAGCCGGCCUGAGAGGGUGACCGGCCACACUGGGACUGAGACACGGCCCAGACUCCUACGGGAGGCAGCAGUGGGGAAUAUUGCGCAAUGGGCGAAAGCCUGACGCAGCAACGCCGCGUGAGGGAUGAAGGCCUUCGGGUUGUAAACCUCUUUUAUCAGGGAAGAAGCGAAAGUGACGGUACCUGAAGAAAAAGCACCGGCUAACUACGUGCCAGCAGCCGCGGUAAUACGUAGGGUGCAAGCGUUAUCCGGAAUUAUUGGGCGUAAAGAGCUCGUAGGCGGUUUGUCGCGUCUGCUGUGAAAAUCUGAGGCUCAACCUCGGACUUGCAGUGGGUACGGGCAGACUAGAGUGCAGUAGGGGAGAAGGGAAUUCCUGGUGUAGCGGUGGAAUGCGCAGAUAUCAGGAGGAACACCAAUGGCGAAGGCACUUCUCUGGGCUGUAACUGACGCUGAGGAGCGAAAGCGUGGGGAGCGAACAGGAUUAGAUACCCUGGUAGUCCACGCGCGUAAACGUUGGGCGCUAGAUGUGGGUCACAUUCCACGUGAUCCGUGUCGCAGCUAACGCAUUAAGCGCCC